Drosophila mojavensis is the source of this 77-nucleotide non-coding RNA. The record is from Rfam. Lineage: Eukaryota; Metazoa; Arthropoda; Insecta; Diptera; Drosophilidae.
UGGAUCUUAGUUUUAGACGUGUUUUGGUGUGCUUGGGAGUUUUGUUCCGAUUGAAACCGUCCAAAACUGAGGCCAAU